UACGUAGGGGGCAAGCGUUGUCCGGAUUUAUUGGGCGGAAAGAGCGUGUAGGCGGCCAUGUAGGUCCGUUGUGAAAACUCGAGGCUCAACCUCGAGACGCCGAUGGAAACCAUGUGGCUAGAGUCCGGAAGAGGAGAGUGGAAUUCCCGGUGUAGCGGUGAAAUGCGCAGAUAUCGGGAAGAACACCCGUGGCGAAGGCGGCUCUCUGGGACGGUACCGACGCUGAGACGCGAAAGCGUGGGGAGCAAACAGG
RNAcentral lists this ribosomal RNA (253 nucleotides) under uncultured bacterium. Its description in RNAcentral is "partial 16S ribosomal RNA". It matches the Rfam family "Bacterial small subunit ribosomal RNA", at positions 524 to 776 of the family's 1533-position model. The record is from RNAcentral.